UACGUAGGGGGCAAGCGUUGUCCGGAUUUAUUGGGCGUAAAGAGCGUGUAGGCGGCCAGGUAGGUCCGUUGUGAAAACUGGAGGCUUAACCUCCAGCUGUCGAUGGAAACCAUCUGGCUAGAGUCCGGAAGAGGAGAGUGGAAUUCCUGGUGUAGCGGUGAAAUGCGCAGAUAUCGGGAGGAACACCAGAGGCGAAGGCGGGCUACUGGGCCGAUACUGACGCUGAUGCGCGAAAGCCAGGGGAGCAAACGGG
This 253-nucleotide ribosomal RNA is filed under the name uncultured bacterium. RNAcentral describes it as "partial 16S ribosomal RNA". It matches the Rfam family "Bacterial small subunit ribosomal RNA", at positions 524 to 776 of the family's 1533-position model. The record is from RNAcentral.